This 253-nucleotide ribosomal RNA is filed under the name uncultured bacterium. RNAcentral's name for it is "partial 16S ribosomal RNA". It matches the Rfam family "Bacterial small subunit ribosomal RNA", at positions 524 to 776 of the family's 1533-position model. The record is from RNAcentral.
UACAGAGGGUGCAAGCGUUAAUCGGAAUUACUGGGCGUAAAGGGCGCGUAGGUGGUUGCGUAAGUGAGAUGUGAAAUCCCCGGGCUUAACCUGGGAACUGCAUCUUAUACUGCGUAGCUGGAGUGCGGUAGAGGGUAGUGGAAUUUCCGGUGUAGCGGUGAAAUGCGUAGAUAUCAAGAGGAACACCUGAGGUGAAGACGGGUUGCUGGGCUGACACUGACGCUGAGGCGCGAAAGCUAGGGUAGCAAACGGG